RNAcentral lists this ribosomal RNA (216 nucleotides) under Glomeromycotina sp. RNAcentral's name for it is "partial small subunit ribosomal RNA". The stretch from base 40 to 216 matches the Rfam family "Eukaryotic small subunit ribosomal RNA", at positions 686 to 864 of the family's 1831-position model. The record is from RNAcentral. Lineage: Eukaryota; Fungi; Glomeromycota.
GGGUCAGCAGGCUGGUCGUGCCACCGGUACGUACCGGUCUCACUGAUUCCUCCUUCCUGAAGAACCGUAAUGCCAUUAAUUUGGUGUUGCGGGGAAACAGGACUGUUACUUUGAAAAAAUUAGAGUUUUUAAAGCAAGCUAACGCUUGAAUACAUUAGCAUGGAAUAAUGAAAUAGGACGAUCGAUCCUAUUUUGUUUGUUUCUAGGAUUGACGUA